CCGCCCCUUCCGGUUGGCCCCGCCUUUCUACUCCACUUCCACCUCUAUGUCUCGGUUCACCUAGAGCGCCGACAUACACUGAAAGAGGACUACGCCCACACCGUUUCCGGCAGGCCGAGAUGGGAUUUAUCUUCUGACCAAAUUAGGAAGAUAAAGAUUUAACACCCUCACUCCAGACUCCCACUUUUCCUACUUGCAUCCUCCAUGCAUGCAAUAUAUGCUGGAGUGCAGGAAAUCGAAUUGAAGGAGAGAGGAAUCGGCAUUUUCAGAAUGCAGCAGAGAUUUCAUGAAAAUUGGUCAUUGGGUUUGGCAAUAGGAAGGCCAUGUAAAGAGGAGUUUCAGGGGAGUAGAGCUGGAAACCAGAGUGCACCAUGGGUUAAAAUGUGAGAUGAUUGCCUGAGCAGGUGUAUUUGAAGAAGCAAAUUCAUACAAAGGGAGUUUCCUUCUGGCCUGAAAGAUUCUCAGGGACACUUCAGUGAUACAUCACACACAUAAAACUGUAUUUACUUAUUCUAAAAUCUCUUGCAAAUCUGAAAGAAAACAUUAUAAUUAUCUAGACAAUAAAGUAAAAAAAUGUGGAUACUUUUUCUAAGUUUGCUAGAAAUUUAUUCUGGGAAAGAGUUUGAGUUUUAU
Macaca mulatta (Rhesus monkey) is the source of this 633-nucleotide non-coding RNA. The record is from RefSeq and is a predicted model, not a curated record. Lineage: Eukaryota; Metazoa; Chordata; Mammalia; Primates; Cercopithecidae.